AGAGCGCGUUCUGGACCGUCAAGACGCAAAGUUAAAUUAAUCCUAGCCGUCUAUACCCCCUUCUCAUAAUCUAUAAAUAGGAUUGAAGAGCCAUUCAUUCAUUCCAUAGCCUGCAUCGGGUGAUGGACUCCUUUGUUGGGUCUGAUGAUAGAUAUAUUAACAAUUAUUCCAAUAAUUUUUAGAAGGAUUGGGUUUUUGGUGCGAUUGCCUGGUCCAGGAACAAGUAUUCCGGUAAUUUCUUGAUUAUGAUGGGUUGGAUCUUGGGUUUUCUUUUAUGUUUCUUUGGUGGUUUUGGCCCGUUUUCUUCAUUUUAGAGGUACUUCUUCCUUCCUUUCUUCGGCGGUAUUCUUCUUUUAAUAUUAUGGUGAAUUCUAAUCUUUUCGUAAUUUGAACUUAUUUCAAUUACCUUAUUGAGAGUGGAAAAUUUGAUGGAGUUCUUCCCGUGUAGAUACUUUUUAUUUUUAUUGAAAAUUUUGGAUAUUUAUUUAUUACUAAAUCCUAACGCGAUGAUAUAUCAUGAUUAUUAUUCCAAGAAUCUUUGGCUGGGGGUUCGAGACCAGUUAGUCCCGACGGAUCCAAUAAAUACAUCAAUUAAUUUCAUAUGUCAGGGGGCAGAAUUCAAUUUCCAAAACAAAGGGGCUUUUUUCUUUCCUAUUUUUCCAUUUUUUUAAGGUCCCAUCGAAGAAAUUAUAUGCUGUGAUGGAGAUUUCCCCCAUAUUCUCCGAUCUUUGCAAAAACUUUUUGUUUCUUGCAUAAAUCCUAACCUGAAAAUAUCAUCAUUACUUGUUAAGAUGAUAGAGACAUAUGGACAAUUAUGCCAAGAUUCUUCUGAAGGAUUGGGCUUUUGAUGUUCUGCUAUUUCUUUCUUGCUUUGCCGCAGAUGUUGCUCUUCGUGUUUUGUGUCUCUUCAAUCUAUUGGUGAUUUGAACUGAUUUCGUGUACUGGGUUGAGAGUUGGAAAUUUAAAUGGUUUAUGGAGUUUAUCCCUCUUUAGAAUUUUUUAUCUUUGAACAAACUUUGGAUUUCUCGUUUAUUUUCAGAAUCCUUAUGUGGAUAUAUUCUGAUUUCGUAUCGAAAAUUAUUCCAAGAAUCUUCUAAAGGUAUUGGUUUUUUGUGCCAAUGCCUAUGAAAUGAGGUGAUUAACUUUUCUUGAAACGGUUAUUGGCAUGUUUAAUAUACUAAUUCCUUUAUUUGAUGGAUAUAGAUUCUGAAAUAUAAAAAUCGUGGACGUUUGUUCAAACAGACACGUGUGGUUAAUUGGUUAUGGUUCCAUCAGUUUCCAUUAUACAGUAUCUUGAUCCUGAAGGUAUUUUCCAAGACUAAAGGUUUACGAUCAGAACAAGUGUUGCACUUCAGUUAGACCUUCUUUCUUGCUUACUUCUAUUAUGUAAGAUUUGUGUUGUGGUACAAGGCAGUUCUGAAGUGAAAUCCAUUCAUUAUUUGCUGCGGUUUAUAAGUUGUCUUUCAAAUGCAGUAUUUUGAGGGGAUCCGUCUAUGAAGGGACAGAGAAUUUUCUCCUCUAGUAAAAAGUAAUAGCAUUUGUUGUCUCUUUUUAGAUAAUAGUAUCCUGUCCUUUUUGUUUAUGCCUUGUUCUUUUUUCUAUAUUUAUUUUUUAUCUUCCCCAUUUAUUUAUCUCCUCCCACCCAGAUUUUUUUUUAUAUGUUGAGUUGAAUUUCAGUGGUAGUCUUAGUUUGUGUCUUAGGGGUGUUAUAGGUCAGAUAAUAUGAAGGAAAACAUAUUAGUUCUUCACUGCAACUACAUUUGCAAUGGCCAUUUGUAACCUUCCCCAUUUUUGUUUCUAAACGAAAUGAAAUGUAGGCUUCUUUUGGUCUUUUCAUUUAAAAAAGCCUUUGCUUCUUUGAUGAUGCUUCACUUGCAGACGGAUUUGACCUGAAGAGAAUACUGCUGUGAUGGGGAAACUAAAUUAAUAGGAAACUUAAGAGAGCAGAGGUUAUUUGAAGUUUCCACCUUUAGGAAGUUCAUAGUUAUUUGCUCUGGUUUGGUUCAGGCUACAAUUCAUAUAUUUCAGUACUUCUUGGCAUCUGCGUUUUUACGAGUUGCUUUGUUUCUCAGGAACCUGCAGUCUAAGUGGUCUUCAGGGUUAUGGUGAAUCAAUAUCUUUACACUGUUUUCUGGGUUUUGUUUGAAAUUAUGUUUUUUUACAAUUGCUCAAAAUGUGAUCUUCACCUUUAUAUUGGGAUGGAAUCCAGUUUUCUUUGGUGCUGCAUCAUCUUCCUGUGGAAAUCCUUGUGGUCAAAGAUAAUGUAUACAAAGGGAAUUAAGGAUGUAAAGUUUUCCUUUGUAUUCCUUGUUCAUUUCUGGUUUAAUAGUCUCAGUUUGUGUUUGGGAGAGUUCAAGUGGAGAUUAAUCAUUUUAUGGGAUGGCAUGAAGGGAAACCCAUUCGUUGUUUCACUGCUGCGGCUCCAUUUGCGUUGGUUAUUUGAAACCUGUCGCAGUCUCUGCUCACAAACGAAAUGUAGACAUUUAGAGGUCUUUUAAUGUGUAAUGCCUCCGAUGCUUGCAGACAGAUUGACAGGAAGAACACAGUGGUUGACAGGGAAACAAAUAAGGUCUUAAGUUUUUUGUGUUUUGGUUUACAAAUUUUUGGUCUUGCUGAACGAGUUUGUUCUCCCUGCCUUUUUAAACAAGUCAAGAUGCUGUCCACCAGUUUCCUUCACUUUCAUGUAAGUUUUUGCAUUAUGAUUAACCUUUCCCAUCCUUGAUUCUGGAUUUUUUAUUUUUCUUAUUUCUUGCCAUCCCAUAUUACGGAUCAAGAUGGAAUUCAAAAGCACUCUGGAUCGAGAAUCACAUAGAAAUUUAACAUAUGCAUCAAUAAAUUUAUUAAAGGGCUGUCGUGUUAUAAUUGGUAACUGCCUCUUUCCAAUCUACUAUUAUUUUGAAUUUUUAAUGUAGGUUUAGAUUUUCAACCACUUUUCGCUUUGGUAUCAAUCACCAGAAUUCGGAGUUGAUUCUACUACAGGGUGUGUUUCGAUCCUGUUUGGUAAAUCUUGAACUCCUUGUGGGAAUUUUAGGAAUCCGAUGUUUGGAUUCAGGUAACAUUUGUGGAUACUGUGGAAUAGUAAGAGUAAUUUUUUCGUGAGUUGGAAAAGUCUGGUUUUGGUUGACGAGUUUAGUCUAUUUAGCUACAGUCAGACUUAUUUUCCAUGUGAAUAAAUUUUGGAGCUUCAUUCAUCAUGCCGAAAUUCGUGUCAAGGUGGAGAUUGUUAGAAUUUGGGUGCGACCCGAAUUCUUUGAUGAAAAUAAUUGAGAGUUUUAAUUAAAGUGCACGUUAAGAAGAAUUUUAAUUGGAAUACUUUUGGAAUCCUAUUCGAAGUCUAUUCACAAAUUCUAGUUGAAGUUCUAUUGGGAGUUGGAAUUUGUGUUGGACUUAAAUAUAUUACGUACUGUUAACGGUCGUCUGUUUUUCUCGUUCAAUUUUUAGAAGCUUUUGUUUGCUUAGAAUUCGUUUGUUGUUUCAUUUGUUUGAAGGUUUUUAGUUAAAUUGGAACCUUUGUGUUUGCAUUUGUCUAUUGGGUAUUUGAAUUGUUUCUAUAGAUUGAUCGAGUUAAAUUUGUGAAUUUCAGUGUGAAAUGAAGGGAACUUAUUCAAUUGCACCAGAGCAGAUAGCACUAAUCAUCAUGUUUUUUAUGCAAUAUAUGCUUAAAUAAGACCGUCCUUAUAGAAAUUGCCCUCAUUAAAGGUUGCUAGCAUGCCUACUGGUUUGUCUAAAGGUAUCACAAGUUGUUUUUGAAGGUAUGAUUGAGGAUAUGGGGCUAAAUAAAUUGAAAGAACGGAGCAAUUCGAAAAGAACAAUCAGGAGGAGGAGGAGGGCGGCAGCUUUUGCGACUCCGAUUAAUGAUAACAUAGUUGCUCCACCAUCAGUAGUGAACGAGAUUAUGAAGGUCCAAAAGCAGGAAGAGAGCAUGUUGGAGAAAACUAGAAAGGAGAGCACAAGUGGGAAAGUGGCCAAUGGAUGAUUAUGGUAGUGGUGGAAAAAGAGUUAACAAGACUAAUGCUGAAAAAUCAACAACUGCUCCUUUCCUGAAAGGGUAAGACCAUUGUCUCAUAUAUUCUUUAUACAUUUACAUGUAUAAGAUCUUUUGGAGUGCUAUAAUUUUAGAUUAUUGUAUUGCAUAUGUAUUUAGAUAAGAUAGAACAAAAAGGGGAUGUCUACACUAAUUGUUUUUUCUCCUUGCAAAGUGCGGUAGUUAAAUAUAGUAUCACAUUAACAUCUACCCGUGUUUUCUCAAAUUUUGGAAAUUUGCCGUAUUUCAAGGGCAGAUUAAUGUAUUCAUCAGAAUAGCAGGCAAAAGGGAAGACGGAUAUCAUCAUUUCGUGCCACUUUUUCAGCCCUCUUCUUUUUCAGGUAAUUAAUCUAAGAGAUAAAAUAAAGUUCUUUUUAUCCCCAUCAAAAUUGAGUGCUCUCUUAUCAACCAAUGCUCCUGGAGUUCCCCUUGAUGACAAAAACCUGGUAAAAGGAAAUCAGUUUAGCAGUUGUGUUGCCACUGAAAAGGAACUCCAACAAUGGUAAGAUGAAAUUAGUUCGUACAUCACAUUUUUUUCUCUCAUGAUGCGGCCUACUAAAUGGGUUGAGGUAUGUUUUUUACAUUUAUGGUGCUCAUAGUCAAACCUCAUUUUUAAGCUUUCUUAUAGUGCAUGCUUGGUUAAACUGAAUAACUUUUUUGCAAGUGAAAGCUCGAUAUUAUUCGGUUAGGAAUUGAUCAAGUAUCGAGUUUUCCAUGUUAAUUGGGGUUUCUCUGGCGAUGACACUUAGUGGAGCACUAGAUGGAUUUACAUCAAGGUGCAAAAUCGAAUAGCAUUUGUAUUCAAUGAUAAGCUCCCGUUGGAUUACUGGAAAAAUCAAAUAGCAGUUGUUUCAGCAUUCUAACCCUUCCAACGUCAAUUUUGGAUGUUGAUAUGGAUGAUAUUUUUCAAAUUGCUCAUUACCUAGAUAUAAAUUAUCCUAACCCUCCCCAUGAAAAUCUAACAAACCCUCUGAAUCCCGACUUUUUCGAUGAGGUUUUGCAAAUUCCUCAAAACUAACCACUAGCGUUAUAUGUUCCUCCUGAAACCCUUUGAUAGAUUCACUGGGAAGUAGGCUCAGAAAUGAGCCGAUAAAUAAAAUCUGGAUUAACCAUAGAAAUUUCUAUCAACAUUUUCCAACCACUUUGAUAGGUAAUACUAUUAUGCAUGAUUUAUGUUCUAAGUUGUAUUUUUCAUUUAUAUAUAUUUUAUUUGUAGGUUUUAGUUUUCAAAUAAAUCAUAGCAUUUUCUAUUUUAUUGCCCCAAUAACGAGGUAUAGCCUAAAUAAAACUAAUUGAUCCAUAAAAGAGGGUGGUAGUUAGGCUCACUCUGGUGGACGGGUGAAACAAAUCAUAGACGGAGGACUUCAAGUUAGAAGUUGGAGGUUAUACCACUAUAAACCUCCCCCGAUCGAUGUCAAUGCCAAUGGAUGCUCAAGAAAGAAUGCACCAUCUACCCACCACACGAGGUUCUCGACACUUAUUUGGAGUAUAUAGCUUUUAUUUAUUAGAUUUUUUUUCCCUUUUUGUGUGUGUAUUAAUUUUUGGUUCCAUUUGCGGAAGAACAACUUUGCUAUGGUGAAGAUACAUAGGUUGCGAUAACUCAGAUGUUGCCGUUUGGGAGUGAUUGCAAGGGCGGCUUUAUGAUUGUGUUUUCAAGUACAACAAAUUUUUAAGUUAACGGUGUAUUUUUUUUUUAUAAAAUGUCGUGGUCAUAUUAGAAAACAUAACACGGAGAAUUGAUUGACAAUUAUCAUAGGGGUCACAUUUAAACUAUUACGAAGUGGUAAUAUUGCAAUUUGUAGUGAUCUCUUUUUAGCCCACCAAUAACUUCAAUCAUUGAGAUUAUACAUUUAGUUAUUUUGGGCUAAUAUUGCAAUUUUAUAUGUUUUGAUGGUUUCUUGGGUCAAGUUUCAAUCUAAAAAAUUGAUCUGCUUGAAAUGACCAACACGUUUUUACUUCAAAGUACACUAUAAAUGACACGCAACUAUAUUUUCCUGAUAUUUCAUCGAUCUUCGUCCACUUGCGAUCCCUUGUUAAGCUUGCAUAUAAAUACAUGAUUAUUUAUGGUUCAACUUUGACCCAAGAUCCCAUCAAAACAUAUUAAAUUGCAAUGUUAGCCCAAAAUAACCAAAUGUAUAAUCUCGGUGACUAAAGUGAAUGGCGAACUAAAGAGAGAUUACCACAAAUUGCAAUAUUACCAUUUCGUAAUAGUUUAAGUGUGACCCCUACGAUAAUAUCAAUUCUCCGUGUUAUGUUCGCCAAUGUGACCAUGACAUUUUGACAAAAACACACUGUUAACCUAAAAAUUCAUUGUACUUGAAAACAUAAUCCUAAAGACGCCCCCUACAAUAACUCUCGAAGGGUGACAUCCAAACUAUUGCGGCCUGUGUAGCUUCAUCACAAUGAAGUUGUUCAUCUGAAAAAAGAUCAAAAAAUCAAUAGACACAAAAAGCAAAAAACAAAAAAUAAUCUAACAUAUAAAAACUAUUUACUUUAAAUUAGCGUCGAGAACCUCGUGUGGUGGUAGACAGUGUAUUCUUUCAUGAGCCAUCUAUUGGCAUUGGCAUCAACAGGGAAAGGUUUAUAGUGGUAUGAUGACCUAUUUUCAACCCGAAGUCCUCUAUCUAUGAUUUGUUUCACCAGUCCACCAGAGUGAAACCAGCUACCACCUCUUCGAUGGCUCAGUUAGUUCUAUUUAGGCUAUACCUCGCUAUUGGGGUAAUAAAAUAGAAAGUGCUAUGAUCUGUUUGAAAACUAAUACCAGCAAAUAAAAUAUUAAUAUAUAUAAAAGAAAAAUAAAACUUAUAUAUUCCAAAAAACAUUGGUGAGCUUAAAAUUUUAACAAACUGACCAAAUAUUGAAAAUUUACCUAAAUCACGCAUAGAAAAGUAUUACCUGCCAAAGUGGUUGGAGAAUGUUGAUAGAAAUUUCUACGGUUGAUCCAGAUUUCAUUCAUUGGCUCAUUUCUGAGCGUCCUUGCCCGUAAAUCUACCAAAAGAAUUUUAGGACGAACGUAUAGUGCUAGUGGUUGAUUUUGAGGAAUUUGCAAAAUCCCAUCAAAAAAGUCGAAAUCUAGAGGGUUUGCUAGGUUUUCAUGGGGAGAGUUUGGAUCAUCUAUUUCUAAAUAAUUAACAAUUUGAAAAAUAUCAUUCAUAUCAACAUGUUCAAAACUGUCGUUAUGAGGGUUAGAAUGCUGAAACAACCACAGAGUUGAUGGCUGUAAAGGAAGGUAAAAUGUAUUUGAAAUUAGUAAGUACAGGUUGUUAGAUACUAAUGCCCAAUCAAGAUCAUUCUCCUUUUUUGUUGAAUGAGUUCAGAGUUUUUGUAGGAGUUUGGAGUUUAGAUUGCUGACCAUCUCAACUUAUUAGCAAGUUUAAAUCUCAAAUUCCAGUGGAGGUUUCAUCUUGCUAAGCAAAUUUCCAACCCCUUGGUAGCAACAUUAAUAUCAUUUCUGGAGCGAAUGAGAGCUUGUCUCACUGAGUUUCUGUCGAAAACCAUUGAAACCAGUGUGGCAAUGGAGUCCUCAGGUGAAUUGAAUGUGGAUGAUGAUCGAGCGGGAUCAAUUCCCUAGAGCCAAAGGAGGAAGAAUUUUUGAAGCAACCAAAAAGAGCAAGUUAAGGCCAUAGAAAUAAAGAAAUUAUUGUUCUAGUAGCUAAAACUUUUUUUUUUCAUUACUAAUAGCUAAAAUUUAACACUACCCUCAACAUACGCAUGGUUAAGAAUAGAAACAGCAAGGUGCACUAAUAGAUAGGAGUGGACAGUAUAAUCAACAAUUGUUCAACUUAGUUUGCUAUUAUUAUACUGCCUAUUACCAUGCAAUUCUCAUUAAAGAACACGUUAUAAAACUAUAUUUGUAACUAUGUAUAUCCAUAAAUGAAUUUGUUGCACAAUAUUUCCUGAUCUGGUUCUAAUAACAUUGGGCAAUACAUACACGAGGGAAACUGCAAGAAAGUACCAACAGCAGGACACACACUAUUGCAUCCCUCUCCGAUACAUUCCAAGCCAACCCCUCAAAAAAAAACCUAGUCUCCUUAUUCCGUGAGCUAGGUCUAUGCUCUCUACUUCUCUCGUCGCCAAGAAAGGGAAAAAACCAGAGUAUGUGGUGAAUUUUAAACAAAAGUUUACUCUCUCUCGCCCACUGUCUCCCUAGUGUUGAAUAGGCAAGAAGAAGAAAAAUGAGGGGUGAUUUUGACCAAGUUGAAGUCCAUUUGACUAGUUUAGAAAGAUAAGAAUGGCUUUCCCAGUAAAGAUGUUUUAAGACAUUUUCCACUAAAAAAAGGACUUCUAAACAAAAAAAUAUAAAAUAAUAAUAAAUCUAAUUUUCACCAUGCACAUUGUAAAGUCAUUUUCAAUAAUUCUCCAUAAUAAUACUUGCCUCCACUUGUAGACCUGCAUAUGUUGGAGAAUUUUCCACAACAUUCCUACCCUGUCCCGUUGGUGGUGCACUCCCCACGGAAGGCCAAGAAAGUCAUGAGACAAAUUCUGAAAAUAGAAAGAUGCAAAAGUCAUGGAUAGCUUCAAGAAAUAUCACAGAAUUGGAAAAACCAACCUUGGGUAAAUUUCAUCUUGGUUGAUUUUUGGUUUAAAACUUAUUAUUUUGAGGUGGUGUUGAUGUUCAUCUUCAUAUCACAGAAUUGGAAAAACCAACCUUAGGUAACUUUCAUCUUGGUUGAUUUCUGGUUUAAAAACUUAUUAUUUUGAGGUGGCGUUGAUGUUCAUCUUCAUAUGGCUAGAUUUGAAGAGGCUAUUGCAGAUACUUUAGAUUAAUCAUCUAGUAUUUGUUGUUGAUAGCGGUAACCAUUCCAUUGCAGAACCUCUUUCUAACUACGAGAAGCCAUUUGAUUUAUUUGCCAAAGAGAGGCACCUCUCACAAAUUGAGGGUUUUAAUUAGAAUGUUAAGCUUUUACUUGAAUUCCAGUAGCCCCUUCCAAGUGCAAAUGUUUCUCUUUUUCUUGAUGUUCGGAUUAUCUGCUCUAUAAUAUUUGCUUUGGGAGCAAUUCUCCUUAGUUAGAAUCUUAAGAAGCGUUUCUUCAUGACUAUUUUUCCACCGGAGGCAAUUUUAAGAAGCACACUUUUCAAGAUUUGUUAAAAGUCAAUUACAUUUUACAAUUGUUACUUCCUCUGAUGAAUAUUUUGAAUGACUCUCAGUAACUCGAUAUUAAUAAUUUUGCUGGUUUGUUCACAUGCUUACAUGUUAGGUUGCGUUGCUUGCCUUACAAUUCCAAGUAUUGCUUUCACCAAGGUGCUUUAUGUUUUAGGGUAAAGUUGGAUUCUUUUUCAGCUUACUGAGAACUGAUGAACUUUCUAACUUGCCAUUUGAUAUAUUACGGAGAUGAACUUAGGUUAGAUAAUAGCCACUCAGUAACGUUCGUGGCGGCUGGACAUAUAAUUUCACAACUUGGGACUGCAUCAGAUGCACACUAAAUGUUGGAGGCUUGAAUCUUGUUCUCACUUUUAGUGUAUAUUGUUGCAUUGAUGCUAUUGAAUUCAAUUUUCUAUCUACCUUUUUUGGUCUACUCGUGUGUCUGGCUUUGCUUGUGGGGAACAAGAGUAAUCACCAGUCCAAAGAAGGGGACAAAGUCAUGGUCCUUUAUAUUUUUGGACACCAGCACUAUCUCCUAAGCUUUGUUUGCUGGAGAAGAAUGAUGCCACGUAUAACCUUGUGACUAUCGACCGUCAGAAAUAUAUGAUACAUGCACCAUUGGUCUGUCACCCAAUUACUGGAUUGGAAAGUAUCCGCUCAGUGAUGUUCGGCUGCUGGACUGUAAUAAUUCACAGCUUGGGACUGCAUCAGACGCACACUAAAUGUAGGAGGUUUGAAUCUUGUUGGGACUUUUCGUGUAUGCUGUUGCAUUGAUGCCGGUAAUUCAAUUGUCCUUCUACCUUUUUUGGUCUAUCCUUGGUAUAAUAUUGGUCAAUGUGUCUGGCUUUGCUUCUCAGGUACACGAGUCAUCAAUUAGUCAAAAGAAGGGGAUAAAGGCAAAGGCAUGGUCCUUUAUAUUUUUGGACAAAGCUUUGUUUACUGGAGAGGAAAGAUGCUGCGUUUUACCUUGUAACUAUUUACUGUCAAAAAUAUAUGAUUACUUGCAUAAUUACCUCAUAAUUCUAUCAUACUGACACAUAAACCUUGUUGAUGUUCAACUUGACUUUUUGGUCUACUUGGCAUUGUUCUCAUAUCUUCUUUUUUUUCUAUAUUUCUUCCAACCUUCAGAAGUUCAUAUGUUUUUGUUCUGGUUUGGGGCAGACCACUGUUCCUGAUGUCUUGGUACUACUUGACAUCAGCCUUUUUUAAGAGUUGCUCUGUUCCUUGGGAACCUGCUGUCUAAGUGGUCUUCAAGGUGGUGGUGAAGCAAUAUCUUUACAUUGUUUUCUGGGUGAAACUGAUUUUUUCCCAGUUGCAUGGAAUGUGAUCUUCAUUCUUAUACGAAUCCAUUUUCUUAGUGCUGGUUCAUCUGCCGAUAGAAAUCCUCGUGGUCAAAGAUAUACGUCUUCUCUCCACUUUCCAAGGUAAGCUAGAAAUAGAUUGAAAUUAUGUCAACUGUUAAUUCACAUAAAAAAUGUCAACACUUGCCUUUGUAACUCUAAGAUUUGUUUUAAGGUGCGAUAACCUUUGAUUGUUCAGUUGGGAGCCAGCAGGAUCAAAGUUGGCUGCAUGUUCUUUGUAUCUAUGCUGACUGCUCUUAUUUGCAAUUCCUCUUCAUUUCUCCUUUCUUCAAGAUAUAGAAUAUAGUUCACUUGGUAUAAAUGAUAUGAUUCUGAAACAUGGUAAUGGAGAUUGCUUUAUCCUCUGAUGAUAUUUGUAAGUCGAUAUUCCAUCCUGGCCAUUUCUGUAUAUGGUUCAAUUCAGUUCUCCCCGUGUCAACAGUUCUGUUUGGUUGAUUCCUUCUUUAAAUACAUUAUAUAUAUUCUGAGGGUUACAGAGGAUGUUCCUGUUGCUAGAUUUGAAGAACCUGUAGCAGAUAUCUAUAUGAUUAAUCAGCUUCAUUUGCUGUUGACAGCAAAAACAGUUUCAUUGCAGAAUCUCUCUUUCCAAAGACAGCAAAACUUAUUUGAUUCAUUUGCCAAUGAUCUUUCUUGACACAAUUAAGGGUGUAAUUAGUGUGUUUCGUGCAGUCUUUUAUUUAGUUGGCUCUCAUUUCAGCAGUUGAUUUCCAUUUGAGGACAAGUUUCAGAGUUUAUGGAUGUUCAGAUCCUCUGCUUUGUAGUAUUUGCUUUGGGAGCAACCCCACCCACGUCGAAUUCCUAAUAAGAAGUUUUGUCAUGACAAAUUUACAUUGGACACAGUGGGAGGCUUGCAAAGCAUUUAUUUUUUGGACAACAAAUGCAUACGAGUGAAAUCUUUAAUAUCAGGUAGUGACCUCAUUUCCUUAGCAAUCUUCUCAAACCUAGUUAUGACUAUGAAGUGGCUUAAACUACCAUUGGGGUUUUGUUUCUCUAUCUAGAUUAUGAAAUACCACAGCUCUUAUCACUAGAUGGAUUUCAAGAAAGUCAACAAAGGUGGAGAAUUCAGUGAAAAAAGGCUGUCUUUAGGAAUAUAUGUUACAAGGUCCGAAAGGUUUGUGUCGGGAACCCACCCAAUUCAUAGAAAUAGAAGGAUGGCAGCCAUUAACUCCUCAUUCCUUGACACGAAGACCGAGGUAGGGGGAAAAAAUGAAAACUGGUGGUCAAAUAGAGUGAAAUUGGGUAUUUUCCCAGUAAUUAAUUCCGUAACUGCAUUCUCAACAUAGAAGAAAAUAAUUCUUGGCUUGCUUAUGAAGAAAUUGGCAUUAACAAGACAACUUGUUGUCCCAAAAAAACAAGCAAAAGCUACCAAGAUGCAGGACCGAACUAUGUAUUUGAUGUUAUGAGAUAACAAUGACUUUUGUUUCCACUUUAUAUCUUCUUAGAGACAAAAUGCUUUGUUAAUCCAUGCAUAAGAAUAUAUCUGCACAAUAAUUUAUUUGGACAUACAGUAGCCGUAGCAGGAAAUUUUGUCCACAAAAUCCAGUGCAACUGCCCCCACUUGGCCUCAAGGGCAGCUCUGCCUCAGGUUGAGAAACAGGCUCUGGAGAUGUGUAAGAAAAGUGAUAUCUGUUACUUCCACACUUGAAGAUGCUUCAUAACUUUCCAGUAACUUCAGUUUGGUGGCUGUCCAAACAUGCUUACAUGUGUACGUUAAAUAUUGCUUGUGGAAAAGCUUUACAAUUUAGAGUACUGCUGUCACCAAGGUGUUUAUGUUUGCAGCUAAUGUGGACUCUUUUGCAGCCUACUGAUAACUGAUAAAUUUUCUGUUAGCUAUGAAUUAUUCAUGCCAACAUUGUGAGAUAUGGUGGCACCUGGAGUCCCAAUCUAAGCUGUUUUGAUUCAUAUCUAGUGGCUGCAUCAGAUGAUACUGACUGUAGGAGGCUUGAAUCUUAUCGGUGCUAGUGGUAUUUAUUGCAUUAACCCUACUGAAAUAAUAUUUUCUUGUGUUGUAUCUGAGUACACACAGCAUGGUUAGUUAUAUUAAUUGCUCAGCUUAUACUAACUAUAACCAGCACCAUCCAAGCAUGGGAUCAGGGACACAAGUGGUACAUGACUGACCUCAUCAACUUUAUCUUGAGCAAAGGUUUAAUUACUCACCAUUAGAAAAAGGGACAAAGUUAGUGUCCUGGGUGUUGACCUUGGGUACCAGCAUCAAGUCCUAAGCUUUCUUUACUGAAGAAGAAAGAGGCAUUUGACCCUGGGACCAUGUAAGCUGUUUGCUACAUAAUAAGCAAUUGUGAGGAAACAUGCUCAUUAUUGCUCUGACAUACGAGCUCCAAGCAUCUCUGAGAACUGUCCAAACCAACAAAAGGAAACUAAAGUGCCUCUGUAAAGCACUAUCUGAAUCACAUUCAAAUCAAUAAUUGUAUUACAUUGAUGACGACUGGCAAAUACGAGGUUACUAAAGGUGUUUGGUACGCAGUUUUGUUUGCAUCAAAGUCUGUUAAAUUUAGUUCAUAAUCUGUCUAACUUAAGCAGUGAACUCAAUGCUAAAGUGCCUCAUGCCUCACUCCAACGGCUGCAUUUUUCUGCUCUUUUCUCGUGAAAUUUGAUAUUCGUUGGUAGAAGUUUGAAAUAUCAGGUAUGAUGGGAUAUCUUGCAGUGAGAUUAAAGUUUAGAUAUCUAUUGCAUGGAUUGAAGAUUGCACUUCAGAUAAUAAUACUUUAGUAGUUCCUUGCCCUUUUGCAUUUUGAUCAAAAUUAUGCUGAAGUUUUAUAGUGAGGAUGAAAUGCUGAAAGAUAAGCAAUUUAUUUAUGACAUGUUAAAGCCAUUGGUUACUGAUAUAUAUGAUAUUAUGAUAAAACUGGAUCAAGACGUGGUCAAUAGCGUCUGGGUGGUGGUAUGGUUACAGUUAACGUUUCAUUCUACAGAGCGUCGUUCUUUGAGGUGAGUGGUUAUCGAUCUUCCUUUUCUUUAGAUUCCAUAUCUAACUCCUUUUCUUCUGUUUUUAGUUUUGCAGAAUGUAUUAUUUUUUCCCCAUUACUAUUUUGUGUUCAUCGGAAAUGGUACCGUCUAGUUAUGAUUAUUUAAUAGACCUAUAACUGUGGUUUAAUUGUUUUCAAUUUGCAAUUUGGGUUCUUAACUUGUUGGUAAAUUUGUCUAAUUGUGUUUUGCGAGAAGCCUAAGAUUGGAUUGUAGUUGAGGGAGGACUGUGCUGGUCGUCUGAGGUGACCUCAUACAUGACGAUAAUAGAAAUGUCUCUUGGCUGGAGGUUGAUGAAACUCUUAUUCUUGGGUAUGUUACUUGAUUCAAUUGAGAUUCAAAUGUGGUCUUUUAUGGAAAAUAAGUUGUCCCAGUUCUUUUAUGUUAUAUUUAGUUCCUCUACCAUCGUGAUAUGUUUUAGUUUAACACAGUUUCCAAAGAAAUUUAUUUUGUAAGGCACUUGAUAGGAAAUGCCUUAGGUGUUGAAGUGGAUUUCUUAUCUUUAUCAUCAGGUCGAAAGUGUGGAAUAUGUAUGUACUUUCAUGAUAAUGUUGGGUGCAAUAUCAUGAAUACAAAUAGCUAUCUGUAUCUUGAUGGUACAUGUAGGAAAUUGAAGCUUGGAAGUAUUCUACCUGGUGAUUAACAAGAUUGUUAUGUAAUGUGAGUGAAGUAGUUGCAGCUAUGCUACAAACGUAGUUUUUGAAAUGUCUUUGUUUGGUACUUAAUUAUGUGAAUUUAAUUAGUCUUCCUGAUUAUCAUAAAUGAUUUUAUUUCCCUCUUGCAUUUUUGGUUCAUAGUCAAAUGCUGCCUAGAUCCCAAAGAAACAUAAGGAGUUGGUAGAAUUAUAAAGGAAUGCUUGGAACUACUAUCAUUUUACCAAUAUUUUCCCUCCAUUUCACAAUUCUCUCAGUUUUAGAAUCUCUCUUUUCAUAAUAAUUUGAAUAUUUGCUUAGCAUAAUUUUUUGCAAGUGUUUAUAAACAGAUGAAAAUGAGUAAUAGAUAGUACUUAUAGGUCUUACGAAAUAUGCACUAUUAUACCCAUGUAGUAUGUUUGUAGAACUCCACUUAGAGUUCCCACGCAGGUUAUGUAGGGUUGAUUGCCAACUAGUUUUAGUAGUUGAGAUAUCAACAAAGAAAGAAAAUGUAGAGGGGAAAGAUUUAACAUAGUUUAUGGAUAGUGGCUGUAAUUCAAUGGUUUGGUGUUAGGAUGCAUGUUGCAUUGUUGCUUCAUUCUGUGUCGGUUUUGGUCUAGGUAGUAGACUCUUUUAACUCCGCCUAUGUUGCAUGUUCGCUUGAUACAGCCGGUCCCAAGCGCGAUAAAAGAGGAGGGAUGAGCUGACAUAUGGUGCAGUUGCCAUAUGGAUAAAGAUCUCGUGUGGAGUAUUUUUAAUGUUCUCACGUCUCGAUUUAGUCAUUUCGAGUAUGUGAUUGAUUCUGCAAUUAAUAGUUUUCUUAUACUAAUCGCCUUUUUUGAUUGCACAUAUUUUCUCAAUGAUCGGAUUGGUUAUAUGGUUAUAUCGUUUGGAUUCAUGGAAAGAUUGAUCAUUUAUUCAAAAGUUGUAUGAUAACUUGGAUUCA
Molecule: long non-coding RNA, 15028 nt
Organism: Olea europaea var. sylvestris
Lineage: Eukaryota; Viridiplantae; Streptophyta; Magnoliopsida; Lamiales; Oleaceae
Exons: 4
Source: RefSeq, a predicted model, not a curated record